CACCGGCGCACGGGUGCGUAACGCGUACAUAACCUACCCUGAAGAGGGGGAUAGCAUCGGGAAACUGGUGGUAAUACCCCAUGAGCUUAAUCGGUGGCAUUACCGGUUAAGGAAAGUCCAAGCGCUUUGGGAUGGAUGUGCGUCCGAUUAGCUAGUUGGCGGGGUAACGGCCCACCAAGGCGACGAUCGGUAGGGGGUGUGAGAGCAUGACCCCCCACACGGGUACUGAGACACGGACCCG
RNAcentral lists this ribosomal RNA (241 nucleotides) under uncultured bacterium. Its description in RNAcentral is "partial 16S ribosomal RNA". It matches the Rfam family "Bacterial small subunit ribosomal RNA", at positions 93 to 334 of the family's 1533-position model. The record is from RNAcentral.